AUUGAACGCUGGCGGCAUGCUUUACACAUGCAAGUCGAACGGUAACAGCACUUCUGUGGCUGACGAGUGGCGCACGGGUGAGUAAUACAUCGGAACGUGCCUCGUAGUGGGGGAUAACUACUCGGAAGAGUAGCUAAUACCGCAUGAGAUCUAAGGAUGAAAGCAGGGGACCUUCGGGCCUUGCGCUACUAGAGCGGCUGAUGGCAGAUUAGGUAGUUGGUGGGAUAAAAGCUUACCAAGCCGACGAUCUGUAGCUGGUCUGAGAGGACGACCAGCCACACUGGAACUGAGACACGGCCCAGACUCCUACGGGAGGCAGCAGUGGGGAAUUUUGGACAAUGGGCGAAAGCCUGAUCCAGCAAUGCCGCGUGCAGGAUGAAGGCCUUCGGGUUGUAAACUGCUUUUGUACGGAACGAAAAGCACUAUGCUAAUACAGGAGGGUCAUGACGGUACCGUAAGAAUAAGCACCGGCUAACUACGUG
Molecule: ribosomal RNA, 482 nt
Filed under: uncultured bacterium
Lineage: Bacteria
Description: partial 16S ribosomal RNA
Rfam family: Bacterial small subunit ribosomal RNA
Source: RNAcentral